Molecule: long non-coding RNA, 4792 nt
Filed under: Podarcis lilfordi (Lilford's wall lizard)
Lineage: Eukaryota; Metazoa; Chordata; Lepidosauria; Squamata; Lacertidae
Source: RNAcentral
CUCGGGUUACAGACGCUUCAGGUUACAGACUCCGCUAACCCAGAAAUAGUACCUCGGGUUAAGAACUUUGCUUCAGGAUGAGAACAGAAAUUGUGUGGUGGCACCGCGGCGACAGCAGGAGGCCCCAUUAACUAAAGUUGUACCUCAGGUUAAGAACAGUUUCAGGUUAAGAACGGACCUCCAGAAGGAAUUAAGUUCUUAACCCGAGGUACCACUGUAUUCACAAUGUGGCACAAUGGUUAGAGUGUUGGACUAGGACUUAGGAGAUCAGGGUUCAAAUCUCCACUCAGCCAUAAAGCUCACUGGGUGACCUUGGCCAGUCACCAUCUCUUAGCCUAAUCUACAUCACAGAGUUGUUGUGAGGAGGAAAUGGGGAGAAGGAGAACCAAGUACACCACUUUGAGAUCCUUGGAAGGUAAAGGUUGUAUAUAAAUGUAAUAAAAAGUAAUAAUAAUUUCAUAUUUUACCAGUAUGCUGCUACAGCAUCUAGACCAGUGAGCCAGUAUGUAGUUAAGAAAAAAUUAUCCUGCCUCCCUGAACAUCAUAGCUAGGAAAACAAAAAGGGAAAGGAGAAGGAAGCUCCCCUGGCAUAUGAAUAAAUAUAUGCAAAAAGUGGAGAAUUUUAUUGACCUAUGAUCCUAAGAAAGGGAUAGCUGCUAGCUUUGGACAAUCCAAAGAGGACUGUCGCACUUGCCUGUCUCCCAAUAUUCUUCUCACAGUAAUUUGCAAACACAAAAAAAAUCAAAGUUGCUAUUUUAAUAUCUGCAGUAAUUCAAUUUGUAUUCUUAAAAUAAUUUCCAGAGUGGUAGAUGUGUUAAAAAAAUUGUAGCAAAACCAGAGUCUUAUGACACCUUAAAAGCUAGCACAUUUAUUAUGGCAUAAGCUUUUUUUCUGGUAAAGUCUAAAUCAAAGAAGCUAGAGUUUGUUUCAUCGGAUUCUCUACAUUAUAUAUUUCAUAAACCUUCAAUUCUGUCAUUUGUAAUAAAAUUUUAAAAACCCUCACUUCUUGCUCCAAGUUUACCAUCUAUAGCCACCAUCUUACAAACAAGUGUUAAUUUCAAGGUUCAAAAAAUUGCCUACUUGAGUAAAUUUAUGUAUGUAUUCAUGUUUACUGAGCUGACACCUAAUUAUGCACUAACUAAAGGAAGAUAUAAGAAGUAAUGAUUGACAAUUUAUUCAGUUUAUGGAGUUUGACAAUAGUAAAUUUUGUGUAUUUCACACAUUGUACAGAGAAUCAAAUAACAUUUUUGCUACACCAACAUACAAAAGUUUUUUAGUAGUAAAAAAUAACAAGUACUGACAUAAGCGGUUCAAAUGAAUGUUGUAUAAUUUAUGUUACCUUAGCAAUGUGCAUGUUACUGCAGCAUAUGCUCUUUCAAUGCCACUCUGGUAAUGUCAGACGAUCUAGGCAACAAUGGCGGCAGGUGCCUAUUGGAACUGGCGGGGCGGAAGAUGGGGAGACCACCAGUAAGUGGAGCCAGAGCCAAUAGCCAGCAGAGCCAACUUAAUUCUAGUAUUGUCCAUGUCACUUUCCCUGCUCAAUUCUAAUAGGACAACACUGAGACUAAGAAGGAGGAAGCUGGCCAGAAGUGGCGCCUCUUAGAUUGACUGCAACGAAGAUAGAUUGCAAGUAACUGGGUUGAUUACAAGAAAGAAGGCACACAGGUGGAGGCAGACUGAGUUUGGCCCCCAUUGGCACUAAUGUGCAGACCUCCACUGCAGACCACCCUGACCCAACCAGUCAUCCUCCAGUUUUUUGGUCUAUAACUGCAAUUAGCCCCAACCAGUAGUAGACCAAAACAACUGGAGCGCACUGGGGUGGGGUUUUUUUUGGGGGGGCAAUCUAGGACAUAUGAUGAGUUCUUGAUGCAGUUACAGUGGUGCCUCGCAAGACGAAAUUAAUUCGUUCCGCAAGUCUCUUCGUCUUGCGAGUUUUUCGUCUUGCGAUGCACGGUUUCCCAUAGGAAUGCAUUGAAAAUCAAUUAAUGCGUUCCUAGGAAGCCGCCUUCAGACUCAGGUCCGGGGACAGUCUGUCCCCGGACCUCUUCUGAAGGCUGGGGGGGGGCAAGGGCUUUUCGGCCCACCCCCAGCAAAUUAAACAACCCCGGGACAGCGGAGGACUUCUCCGCUGUCCGGGGCAACUUAAAAGCCCCUGGGAAGGCAGGCAGGGGGACAAAGACUUUGCCCCCGCCAGCCUUCAGAAGAGGUCCUGGACCUCUUCUGAAGGCGGGCGGGGCGAAAGUCUUGCUCCCCGCCUUCAAAAGCCCUCCGGGACAGGCAGGCAGGGGAGCAAAGACUUUCGCCCCCGCCCGCCUUCAGAAGGUCUUCCCUCCCCCGCCCGGCCGGAGCACCGUUCCGAAGCCGGGCAGAGCGGAGGUCUUCCCUCCCCCCGCCCGGCCCGGGCACCGUUCCGAAGCCGGGCGGCGGCGGCAGGUGUUCCCUCCCCCCCCGCCCGGGUUCGGGGCCCCGUUCCGAAGCCGGGCGGCGGCGGCUGGGGGUCCCUCCCCCCGCCCGGCGUGGGCGGAGCCGUCCGAAGCCCGGCGGCGGCGGGAGGAGGUGUCCCCGCCCCGCCGCCAGGCUUCGGAGGAGGUCCGAGGACAGUGGGGAAGACGCACUGCGCUUCCCCGCUGUCCCUGAGAUUUCCCUAUGGGCUGUCGUCUUGCGAAGCAAGCCCAUAGGGAAAUUCGUUUUGCGAAGCGCCUCCAAAACGGAAAACCCUUUCGUCUAGCGGGUUUUCCGUCUUGCGAGGCGUUCGUCUUGCGGGGUACCACUGUACUUAGUACACCAGCCUCUCCCCACUUAGGGCUUAUUCACACUUACUAUUUGCCCCACACUUUUGAGGCACAGGCUCACGCUUUCAAGCACCACAUCCAAGCACUUUCCCCACCACCACCUUUCCCCAGAAAACCUGAUCUUUGCUUUGAUUUACUGGUAGAGAGCAGGUUUUUGCAGGGAAAGCAACGGGGGGCGGGGUACUCAGACAUGGAGCUUUAAGGAAUGGACCUGUACCUAGAAACUUGGCACAAAAGGAAGUCAGGAUGAGCCAUUUUGUCUCCAAGAGUAGUGUGCUGUUCCUAGGUCACUGGUUCUAAACUCUCAUUAUGAUCAUUGAUAGUGUCUUGGGCUUUAUUUGUUUUCUAAUGUAGCAACAGCUACCUAGAGUCUUUUUCAAAUCAAUAUUUAUGAUCCCUCCUUGUGAUUCUUUUACGUUAUAAGAUUCAGAUUACUAUUUCAAACUCACACACUCUCAUGACUUAAAAUGUAGGUACUUCUCCCCAUUUGGCUUGGUUUGCUCUCCUAUGCUAAAAUUGUGUUGUAAUGCUUGUUUUCAGUCACUUGGUGUUGGUUUAGUGGUGUUUGCUUCAACAUCUGUGAAGAUAUAGCAAACAACACAGUAGUGACACCUAGUGAUAGAAAAAGAGUAUUAACAUUCUUAAGACUAAAGAGACUGCUGUUGACUGCAGGGGAGCCUGGAAACAGACAUCCCUUGAACUAUGGAAGAACAAAAAGUAACUCUCCAGUUCUGUAUACUGUACAUUGAACAAACCAUUUAGAGGGAACAAGGAAUGCUCAACUACAUAACACUGUUUUUUUAAAGAAAAUACUGCUCUGUAGUGGUUUUUCUCUCUCAUUUGAGUUUUAAUAGAAACCAAUGUAUACUAUGACAGAAGGAAAACAAGCCCAAGUUGGGUAAACUGUUGUUAGGACAUACCCCAAAGUAUUACUUUUAGAACCCAACAGUCCUGACUGACCUUGGGCCAAAAGUGCAAUGCUAUUUUAUUAUUUACUGAAUUUAUAUCUUGCCCUUCCUCCCCAAGGAGCCCAGCAUGUUGUCCUUUCCUUUACUCAUGUUGGUGAUCUAGUAGUUCACCAAGCAGCAGUCAUGGCUUCCUAUUUUCAUACUCUGCAUAGUUUCUAAAAGGAGAACUACAACUGGGAGGAAACCGUGCCUUUUGAUCAGGAAGCCCAUCCCCACAAUCCCAUCUGGAGUGCAUGUGUGGCCAAGUUGCGAAUUCUUUUAGCAGACUUUUUGAAACGAAGAAAGGCUUCAUGGUAAGAGAAAAGAGAUCUUGCGCCUUUAAGAUCCCUGGCAGAGGCCAGCUCUCCCUUCUCCGCGGAGAAAACUGCACCUGUGCAACUUCGGCCUCCCACGGAAAAGACGAAAGGAAGUGGCUACGAAAAGCCUACGGAGAAGGAGAUUCUCCCGCGCAGGCUGUGCGCGCAGAAGGGGCAGCCGGAGAAGAUCCUGGUCCUUUUCAGAAUAAGAAAGGACGCCCCCAGAAAGUUCUCCACGCCGCCCUCCUGCAAACAUAGCGAGCAGCGGGGAGUUGGGAGCCAUUAAAAGGUAAGCAGAAGUUAAAAACAGAUGAGGAACCGCUGCUGAGAGCCACUCAGGCAGCAUUGGAACUUGCUGCGAGAAGUUUCCCCUCAGCUCCUGCGGAAAUGAUUGGACGCGCAUCCAGCGCAGAGCCAUUAGUACAGCCGCAGGGAAGGAGGGCCGCAUCCCCCGCAGGUCUCUGGUCCCGGGCAACCUUUCAGGCAGGCCUCGCCUCCCCCUGCCUAUCCCACCCGAGACCGAGGGCCAUUAUUCCCCACCAUGCUUUGCGCCCAGAGAGUGUGGGGUUGAGCGGGGGGGGGGGAGGUGGGAGAGAGGAGCACCCGCACAGCUGCUUGGGUCUCUCUCCGCUCCCUCCCGAGACCGCAGAGGAGCAGCAGCAGCAGCAGGGCGCGCGCGGACUGACCCGGGACCGCGAGCGCCCGCCCCUUUCCCGGCACCUUCCCUGCCCAGCCU